This 338-nucleotide ribosomal RNA is filed under the name uncultured Streptococcus sp. Its description in RNAcentral is "bacterial SSU rRNA". It matches the Rfam family "Bacterial small subunit ribosomal RNA", at positions 1043 to 1382 of the family's 1533-position model. Lineage: Bacteria; Bacillati; Bacillota; Bacilli; Lactobacillales; Streptococcaceae. The record is from RNAcentral.
GCAUGGUUGUCGUCAGCUCGUGUCGUGAGAUGUUGGGUUAAGUCCCGCAACGAGCGCAACCCCUAUUGUUAGUUGCCAUCAUUCAGUUGGGCACUCUAGCGAGACUGCCGGUAAUAAACCGGAGGAAGGUGGGGAUGACGUCAAAUCAUCAUGCCCCUUAUGACCUGGGCUACACACGUGCUACAAUGGUUGGUACAACGAGUUGCGAGUCGGUGACGGCGAGCUAAUCUCUUAAAGCCAAUCUCAGUUCGGAUUGUAGGCUGCAAUUCGCCUACAUGAAGUCGGAAUCGCUAGUAAUCGCGGAUCAGCACGCCGCGGUGAAUACGUUCCCGGGCCUU